Long non-coding RNA from Mauremys mutica (yellowpond turtle), 1315 nucleotides. RefSeq lists it as uncharacterized. The record is from RefSeq and is a predicted model, not a curated record. Lineage: Eukaryota; Metazoa; Chordata; Testudines; Geoemydidae. The transcript has 3 exons.
ACAGGUCUCCAAUCCCUUCCGGUGGCAGUGAGUUCCACUGUCUGAUUGGACUGUCCACAGGACAGUCUCUCAUAAGCAAGAGAGCAGAGAAAGAGACGCAUCCGACAAUCCAGUGAUGACAUCCCCACUGAAACACUUGUGAUGUCACAAAAGCUGGACUGUGGCAUCAACAGAUGACUCAGAAAGCAGGACAAGUGAGGAAAAGAUGCGGAAACUGAGGCACACGGAAAGGCAAUGACUUGCCCAGGGACACACAUCAGCAAGUCAAUAGCAGAAGCAGGAACAGAACUCAAACAUCAUGUCUCUUGAGUACUGUGUCCUGUUCACUGGACCAUACCUACCUCCCCACAUACAUUUGGUUGAGAUAUAGCUCAUGUCUUCUAGAGGAGAACUGGAAUGAGGCUACGUAUGAUACAGAAAACACAGGACAUUUGCUCUUGUAGGAAAUUCCCAUGCUGCUGAAGGAAGGAUAUGUUGCUGCGGCUGCAUUACCAGAAAUGUCUCCUAGAUUAGCUCAGUUUUAUGAACUCUAUCCUUUAAAUGAUGUCCAAAUCCAAGAUGUACAGGGCACACAUGAGAGUAGAAUACACGGUGCUGGCUCUUUAAGAGAAUACUGUCAGUUUUUCAGAUAUUACAUUUAGCUACCCACCCCUCCCGCUUAUCUACUAGCAAUCUCCAUGGAAAUGCUAAUCCCUUUUUCCUCUACCACAAGCACUUCUAUGUGUUUUUAAAAUAGACGAGUGCCAGUAUCUCUGUUCUCAUAAGCUACCCUACAAUGACAAGUAAGUGAAUGUGAGCACAUGCUCAUUAAUAAAAUGCCUGCAUGCACAUCCAAUACUCAUAAGCAAUCUAUAGCAACAAACCAGCAUGCAUUACCCAGUGCUCAGAAGCAACCCUACAAUAACACCCACCGGGAUUGCUUUAGCAAUGCAGGAAGUUAUGGCAAUAAUGACACAGAUUUCAAGUUCCAGCCUCCAAAAGAAAAAAAAAAAGUAAGAUACAGAUUUUUAAAUGAUAAAAGAUACACUGUUGGGUCUUUUACAUCAGAUUUUUAUGACGUGUUUUGAACUACUUUGCAAAACAAGAAUAUACUUUGUUCAAGUAACUGCUCCUCCUCAGGAGCCAUAUUCUGAUUUCAUUUACACUGCUGUAAAUCAGGAGUAACUCUACUGGUUUAUACUCUGUUUACAUCCACAUAUAUAAUAUUCAAUCUGGGUUCCAGGAUUAUUAAAAAAAAACAACCAAAAACAGCUAGAUACGAGUCUGAGAAGUCUUCUGCAGAAUAAAUACUCACCAGUCAAAUUUAAUAUAUACA